This is a long non-coding RNA of Oncorhynchus keta (chum salmon), 1003 nucleotides long. RefSeq lists it as uncharacterized. The transcript has 3 exons. The record is from RefSeq and is a predicted model, not a curated record. Lineage: Eukaryota; Metazoa; Chordata; Actinopteri; Salmoniformes; Salmonidae.
CAGAGAAACACUAUUUAAUCACUACUGACCACAUCUCAGAGAGGUACCAGAUAAACACUAUUUAAUCACUACUGACCACAUCUCAGAGAGGUACCAGAUAAACACUAUUUAAUCACUACUGACCACAUCUCAGAGAGGUACCAGAUAAACACUAUUUAAUCACUACUGACCACAUCUCAGGAGAGGUACCAGAGAAACACUAUUUAAUCACUACUGACCACAUCUCAGAGAGGUACCAGAUAAACACUAUUUAAUCACUACUGACCACAUCUCAGAGAGGUACCAGAUAAACACUAUUUAAUCACUACUGACCACAUCUCAGAGAGGUACCAGAUAAACACUAUUUAAUCACUACUGACCACAUCUCAGAGAGGUACCAGAGAAACACUAUUUAAUCACUACUGACCACAUCUCAGAGAGGUACCAGAUAAACACUAUUUAAUCACUACUGACCACAUCUCAGAGAGGUACCAGAGAAACACUAUUUAAUCACUACUGACCACAUCUCAGAGAGGUACCAGAUAAACACUAUUUAAUCACUACUGACCACAUCUCAGAGAGGUACCAGAGAAACACUAUUUAAUCACUACUGACCACAUCUCAGAGAGGUACCAGAUAAACACUAUUUAAUCACUACUGACCACAUCUCAGAGAGGUACCAGAUAAACACUAUUUAAUCACUACUGACCACAUCUCAGAGAGGUACCAGAGAAACACUAUUUAAUCACUACUGACCACAUCUCAGAGAGGUACCAGAUAAACACUAUUUAAUCACUACUGACCACAUCUCAGAGAGGUACCAGAGAAACACUAUUUAAUCACUACUGACCACAUCUCAGAGAGGUACCAGAUAAACACUAUUUAAUCACUACUGACCACAUCUCAGAGAGGUACCAGAGAAACACUAUUUAAUCACUAAUGCAAUAUUAGAUUAUUGGACAUAAAAGCUUCGAUGUCUGGCUUUUACAAUCGAAGAAAGACAUGUAAUUUAGAUGUUUUUUCU